AAAUUGAAGAGUUUGAUCAUGGCUCAGAUUGAACGCUGGCGGCAGGCCUAACACAUGCAAGUCGAACGGUAACAGGAAUCAGCUUGCUGAUUCGCUGACGAGUGGCGGACGGGUGAGUAAUGUCUGGGAAACUGCCUGAUGGAGGGGGAUAACUACUGGAAACGGUAGCUAAUACCGCAUAACGUCGCAAGACCAAAGAGGGGGACCUUCGGGCCUCUUGCCAUCGGAUGUGCCCAGAUGGGAUUAGCUAGUAGGUGGGGUAAAGGCUCACCUAGGCGACGAUCCCUAGCUGGUCUGAGAGGAUGACCAGCCACACUGGAACUGAGACACGGUCCAGACUCCUACGGGAGGCAGCAGUGGGGAAUAUUGCACAAUGGGCGCAAGCCUGAUGCAGCCAUGCCGCGUGUAUGAAGAAGGCCUUCGGGUUGUAAAGUACUUUCAGCGGGGAGGAAGGGAGUAAAGUUAAUACCUUUGCUCAUUGACGUUACCCGCAGAAGAAGCACCGGCUAACUCCGUGCCAGCAGCCGCGGUAAUACGGAGGGUGCAAGCGUUAAUCGGAAUUACUGGGCGUAAAGCGCACGCAGGCGGUUUGUUAAGUCAGAUGUGAAAUCCCCGGGCUCAACCUGGGAACUGCAUCUGAUACUGGCAAGCUUGAGUCUCGUAGAGGGGGGUAGAAUUCCAGGUGUAGCGGUGAAAUGCGUAGAGAUCUGGAGGAAUACCGGUGGCGAAGGCGGCCCCCUGGACGAAGACUGACGCUCAGGUGCGAAAGCGUGGGGAGCAAACAGGAUUAGAUACCCUGGUAGUCCACGCCGUAAACGAUGUCGACUUGGAGGUUGUGCCCUUGAGGCGUGGCUUCCGGAGCUAACGCGUUAAGUCGACCGCCUGGGGAGUACGGCCGCAAGGUUAAAACUCAAAUGAAUUGACGGGGGCCCGCACAAGCGGUGGAGCAUGUGGUUUAAUUCGAUGCAACGCGAAGAACCUUACCUGGUCUUGACAUCCACAGAACUUUCCAGAGAUGGAUUGGUGCCUUCGGGAACUGUGAGACAGGUGCUGCAUGGCUGUCGUCAGCUCGUGUUGUGAAAUGUUGGGUUAAGUCCCGCAACGAGCGCAACCCUUAUCCUUUGUUGCCAGCGGUCCGGCCGGGAACUCAAAGGAGACUGCCAGUGAUAAACUGGAGGAAGGUGGGGAUGACGUCAAGUCAUCAUGGCCCUUACGACCAGGGCUACACACGUGCUACAAUGGCGCAUACAAAGAGAAGCGACCUCGCGAGAGCAAGCGGACCUCAUAAAGUGCGUCGUAGUCCGGAUUGGAGUCUGCAACUCGACUCCAUGAAGUCGGAAUCGCUAGUAAUCGUGGAUCAGAAUGCCACGGUGAAUACGUUCCCGGGCCUUGUACACACCGCCCGUCACACCAUGGGAGUGGGUUGCAAAAGAAGUAGGUAGCUUAACCUUCGGGAGGGCGCUUACCACUUUGUGAUUCAUGACUGGGGUGAAGUCGUAACAAGGUAACCGUAGGGGAACCUGCGGUUGGAUCACCUCCUUACCUUAAAGAA
Molecule: ribosomal RNA, 1552 nt
Filed under: Escherichia coli
Lineage: Bacteria; Pseudomonadati; Pseudomonadota; Gammaproteobacteria; Enterobacterales; Enterobacteriaceae
Description: bacterial SSU rRNA
Rfam family: Bacterial small subunit ribosomal RNA
Source: RNAcentral